AGGGGGUUAGCUGAGUGGUUUAGCGGUAAAUUUACACUUUACAAACAGGGGUUCGAUUCCUCUACUCCCUA
RNAcentral lists this transfer RNA (71 nucleotides) under Coniophora puteana. Its description in RNAcentral is "tRNA-Val". It matches the Rfam family "tRNA". Rfam says of the family: Transfer RNA (tRNA) molecules are approximately 80 nucleotides in length. The record is from RNAcentral. RNAcentral also lists the same sequence under 1 other name. Lineage: Eukaryota; Fungi; Basidiomycota; Agaricomycetes; Boletales; Coniophoraceae.